RNAcentral lists this ribosomal RNA (500 nucleotides) under uncultured bacterium. RNAcentral's name for it is "partial 16S ribosomal RNA". It matches the Rfam family "Bacterial small subunit ribosomal RNA", at positions 30 to 523 of the family's 1533-position model. The record is from RNAcentral.
AUUGAACGCUGGCGGCAUGCCUUACACAUGCAAGUCGAACGGUAACGGGUCCUUCGGGAUGCCGACGAGUGGCGAACGGGUGAGUAAUACAUCGGAACGUGCUCAGUAGUGGGGGAUAACUGCUCGAAAGAGCAGCUAAUACAGCAUACGACACGAGGGUGAAAGGUGGGGAUAGCAAGACCUCUCGCUAUCGGAUCGGCGGAGAUAAGAUUAGCGAGUUGGGGGGGUAAAGGCCUACCAAGGCAACGAUCUGUAAUUGGUCUGAGAGGACGACCGGCCACACUGGGACUGAGACACUGCCCAGACUCCUACGGGAGGCAGCAGUGGGGAAUUUUGGACAAUGGGCGCAAGCCUGAUCCAGCAAUGCCGCGUGCAGGAAGAAGGCCUUCGGGUUGUAAACUGCUUUUGUCAGGGAAGAAAUCUUCUGGGCUAAUACCCCGGGAGGAUGACGGUACCUGAAGAAUAAGCACCGGCUAACUACGUGCCAGCAGCCGCCGUAA